Molecule: ribosomal RNA, 280 nt
Filed under: uncultured bacterium
Lineage: Bacteria
Description: partial 16S ribosomal RNA
Rfam family: Bacterial small subunit ribosomal RNA
Source: RNAcentral
GUGGAUUAGAUACCCUAGUAGUCCACGCCGUAAACGAUGGAUACUAGCUGUUGGGAGUAAUCUCAGUGGCUAAGCGAAAGUGAUAAGUAUCCCACCUGGGGAGUACGUUCGCAAGAAUGAAACUCAAAGGAAUUGACGGGGGCCCGCACAAGCGGUGGAGCAUGUGGUUUAAUUCGAUGAUACGCGAGGAACCUUACCAAGGCUUAAAUGUAGAUUGACAGGACUGGAAACAGUUUUUUCUUCGGACAAUUUACAAGGUGCUGCACGGUCGUCGCCAGCU